UACAGAGGUCUCAAGCGUUGUUCGGAUUCAUUGGGUUUAAAGGGUGCGUAGGCGGACCUGUAAGUCAGUGGUGAAAUCUCUCAGCUUAACUGAGAAACUGCCAUUGAUACUGCAAGUCUAGAGUAUAGAUGACGUUGGCGGAAUAUGACAUGUAGUGGUGAAAUACUUAGAUAUGUCAUAGAACACCGAUUGCGAAGGCAGCUAACGAAACUAUAACUGACGCUGAGGCACGAAAGUGCGGGGAUCAAACAGG
Molecule: ribosomal RNA, 253 nt
Filed under: uncultured bacterium
Lineage: Bacteria
Description: partial 16S ribosomal RNA
Rfam family: Bacterial small subunit ribosomal RNA
Source: RNAcentral